This 322-nucleotide ribosomal RNA is filed under the name uncultured eukaryote. Its description in RNAcentral is "partial 18S ribosomal RNA". It matches the Rfam family "Eukaryotic small subunit ribosomal RNA", at positions 1470 to 1796 of the family's 1831-position model. The record is from RNAcentral.
CCCUUAGAUGUUCUGGGCCGCACGCGUGCUACACUGAGUGGAUCAGCGGGUCAGGUUGCGCGAAAGCGUUUCCUAAUCUUUAAAUCCGCUCGUGAUGGGGAUUGACGGUUGCAAUUUUCUGUCAUGAACGAGGAAUGCCUAGUAGGCGCAAGUCAUCAGCUUGCGUCGAUUACGUCCCUGCCCUUUGUACACACCGCCCGUCGCUCCUACCGAUUGGGUGUGCUGGUGAAAUGUUCGGAUCGGCCGUUUGUCGCGGUUUCCGCGGCUCGUGGCUGAGAAGUUCAUUAAACCCUCCCACCUAGAGGAAGGAGAAGUCGUAACA